GUUACAAAAUAAGAGCAGAAACAGAUCAUCUGUUGAAAAAAAAUAUGGAGGGCUUUAAAACGCCUUCUAUUUAAGCCCCCGGAUAAUCGUAUUCCUUGUCUGCGCUUCAGCCUCCGGAGCCCAUGGCCAUGCAGCGUCCUAAGCACUGACUAGCUGCAAAGAAGGGGCAGAGCUUUCCUUUCUGCAUGCGUUGAAGGGCUGGCGUGCCUGAGCAAGGAGGAAUUUUGGACAUCUGCGUGCAAAGUCUGAGAGCCAGUGUGUUAGGCUGCAGCCUUCGUUUGUUCCAGGCACGCUGAGAUACGGUUGGUGUGCCCACACUUCUGUGAGUCAUUGCAGCUAUGGUGUUCCAGUUUUGCAAUGUAACAGAAGUGUGUCCAAAUCUGAGAAAACAAAAAAGAUGGCCUUGGACGUGGGAGGAGCUACUGGAAGACACUGUGCCAUGGGCUUGCAGCUCUGCCCUGGUGGGCAUGUUGAAGUGGUGCUGCCACCAAAAGGCAUGGUCCCAUUCUCCCCUACCCCAGCUGACCAGUUCUGCCCUGCACUGCUCUCUGGAGCAAACCUGCCAGUGCCUACAGCUGCAGUGCAGCUAAA
Molecule: long non-coding RNA, 591 nt
Organism: Apus apus (common swift)
Lineage: Eukaryota; Metazoa; Chordata; Aves; Apodiformes; Apodidae
Exons: 3
Source: RefSeq, a predicted model, not a curated record